Long non-coding RNA from Sphaeramia orbicularis (orbiculate cardinalfish), 116 nucleotides. RefSeq lists it as uncharacterized. NCBI's taxonomy places the organism in Eukaryota, Metazoa, Chordata, Actinopteri, Kurtiformes, Apogonidae. The transcript is spliced from 3 exons. The record is from RefSeq and is a predicted model, not a curated record.
UGUGCUCUUCCAAUCUGUAACAUACGUACAUUCACAAAGAGUGUUGAGCAGCACCUCAUUACAAGAAGAGUGGAAUAUUGAGGCAAAUUUGUGACAAUAGUCUACAAAGAGUUCAU